CAGGGAUUGCCUCAGUAACGGCGAGUGAAGCGGCAACAGCUCAAAUUUGAAAUCUGGCUCGUUCCGAGCCCGAGUUGUAAUUUGUAGAAGAUGCUUCGGGUGCGGUCCCGGUCUAAGUUCCUUGGAAGAGGACGUCACAGAGGGUGAGAAUCCCGUAUGUGACCGGGUGCCCGCGCCUAUGUGAAGCUCUUUCGACGAGUCGAGUUGUUUGGGAAUGCAGCUCUAAAUGGGUGGUAUAUUUCAUCUAAAGCUAAAUAUUGGCCAGAGACCGAUAGCGCACAAGUAGAGUGAUCGAAAGAUGAAAAGCACUUUGGAAAGAGAGUUAAACAGUACGUGAAAUUGUUGAAAGGGAAGCGCUUGCAAUCAGACUUGCGCGCCGUCGAUCAUCCUAGGUUCUCCUGGGUGCACUCGGCGGCGUUCAGGCCAGCAUCGGUUCCGGUGGUGGGAUAAAGGCCUUGGGAAUGUAGCUCCUCUCGGGGAGUGUUAUAGCCCUCGGUGCAAUGCCGCCUACUGGGACCGAGGACCGCGCUCCGGCUAGGAUGCUGGCGUAAUG
This 553-nucleotide ribosomal RNA is filed under the name Ascocoryne cylichnium. RNAcentral describes it as "eukaryotic LSU rRNA". It matches the Rfam family "Eukaryotic large subunit ribosomal RNA", at positions 69 to 636 of the family's 3401-position model. The record is from RNAcentral. Lineage: Eukaryota; Fungi; Ascomycota; Leotiomycetes; Helotiales; Gelatinodiscaceae.